UGAUCCUGGCUCAGGAUGAACGCUAGCGGCAGGCUUAACACAUGCAAGUCGAGGGGUAUANNUCUUCGGANAUAGAGACCGGCGCACGGGUGCGUAACGCGUAUGCAAUCUACCUUUUACAGAGGGAUAGCCCAGAGAAAUUUGGAUUAAUACCUCAUAGUAUAUCACAAUCGCAUGAUUGAGUUAUUAAAGUCACAACGGUAAAAGAUGAGCAUGCGUCCCAUUAGCUAGUUGGUAAGGUAACGGCUUACCAAGGCUACGAUGGGUAGGGGUCCUGAGAGGGAGAUCCCCCACACUGGUACUGAGACACGGACCAGACUCCUACGGGAGGCAGCAGUGAGGAAUAUUGGACAAUGGGCGCAAGCCUGAUCCAGCCAUGCCGCGUGCAGGAUGACGGUCCUAUGGAUUGUAAACUGCUUUUAUACGAGAAGAAACACUC
RNAcentral lists this ribosomal RNA (439 nucleotides) under Flavobacteriaceae bacterium JJ-1297. RNAcentral's name for it is "bacterial SSU rRNA". It matches the Rfam family "Bacterial small subunit ribosomal RNA", at positions 14 to 455 of the family's 1533-position model. Lineage: Bacteria; Pseudomonadati; Bacteroidota; Flavobacteriia; Flavobacteriales; Flavobacteriaceae. The record is from RNAcentral.